AUGUUUCCGUUCAAGUUUAAGAGGAAGCAAUUUCCUAUAAGGCUUAGCUUUGCUAUGACCAUUAACAAGGCCCAAGGGCAGACAAUCCCGAUUGUUGGUGUCUACCUACCCAAUCCCAUGUUCUCUCAUGGUCAACUCUAUGUUGCUUUGUCUCGAGCCACCGCAAAGAGAAACAUAAAGAUACUCAUUCAGAAGGAGAAGCCGAAGGAGAAGUCCAACAAGCAAAAGGACAAUCCAAAUAAGCGAAAAAGACCGACCGUGUAAUUACUAACCUCGAUGAAGAACAUCGUCUACAAGGAAGUCCUUACAGGCUGA
Molecule: ribosomal RNA, 315 nt
Filed under: Triticum aestivum (bread wheat)
Lineage: Eukaryota; Viridiplantae; Streptophyta; Magnoliopsida; Poales; Poaceae
Description: partial small subunit ribosomal RNA
Source: RNAcentral